RNAcentral lists this ribosomal RNA (468 nucleotides) under uncultured bacterium. Its description in RNAcentral is "partial 16S ribosomal RNA". It matches the Rfam family "Bacterial small subunit ribosomal RNA", at positions 28 to 507 of the family's 1533-position model. The record is from RNAcentral.
GACGAACGCUGGCGGCGUGCUUAACACAUGCAAGUCGAACGGAAAGGCCCUGCUUUUGUGGGGUGCUCGAGUGGCGAACGGGUGAGUAACACGUGUGUAACCUGCCCUUGACUUUGGUAUACCUUCAGGAAACUGGGGCUAAUACCGGAUAGGCGCUCCUGCUGCAUGGUGGUGGUUGGAAUGUUUCGGCGGUUGGGGAUGGACGCGCGGCUUAUCAGCUUGUUGGUGGGGUAGUGGCUUACCAAGGCUUUGACGGGUAGGCGGCCUGAGAGGGUGACCGGCCACAUUGGGACUGAGAGACGGCCCAGACUCCUACGGGAGGCAGAAGUGGGGAAUAUUGCACAAGGGGCGGAAGCCUGAUGCAGCAACGCCGCGUGCGGGAUGACGGCCGUCGUGUUGUAAACCGCUUUCGCCUGUGACGAAGCGGGAGUGACGGUAAUGGGUAAAGAAGCACCGGCUAACUACGUG